CCCUUAGAUGUUCUGGGCCGCACGCGCGCUACACUGACGAAUGCAACGAGCUUAUAACCUUGGCCGAAAGGUCUGGGUAAUCUCCAAAUUUCGUCGUGAUGGGGAUAGAUUAUUGCAAUUAUUAAUCUUCAACGAGGAAUGCCUAGUAAGCGCAAGUCAUCAGCUUGCGUUGAUUACGUCCCUGCCCUUUGUACACACCGCCCGUCGCUCCUACCGAUUGAAUGGUCCGGUGAAGCGCUCGGACCGCGGCCUCUUGACGGUUCGCUGUCGAUUGGCUGUGGGAAGUUCGUUAAACCUUNUNAUUUAUNGGAAGGAGAANUCGUANCA
RNAcentral lists this ribosomal RNA (327 nucleotides) under uncultured eukaryote. RNAcentral describes it as "partial 18S ribosomal RNA". It matches the Rfam family "Eukaryotic small subunit ribosomal RNA", at positions 1470 to 1796 of the family's 1831-position model. The record is from RNAcentral.